UACGUAGGGUGCAAGCGUUAAUCGGAAUUGCUGGGCGUAAAGCGUGCGCAGGCGGUUUUGUAAGUCUGUCGUGAAAUCCCCGGGCUCAACCUGGGAAUUGCGAUGGAGACUGCAAGGCUAGAAUCUGGCAGAGGGGGGUAGAAUUCCACGUGUAGCAGUGAAAUGCGUAGAGAUGUGGAGGAACACCGAUGGCGAAGGCAGCCCCCUGGGUCAAGAUUGACGCUCAUGCACGAAAGCGUGGGGAGCAAACAGG
Molecule: ribosomal RNA, 253 nt
Filed under: uncultured bacterium
Lineage: Bacteria
Description: partial 16S ribosomal RNA
Rfam family: Bacterial small subunit ribosomal RNA
Source: RNAcentral